This 465-nucleotide ribosomal RNA is filed under the name uncultured bacterium. RNAcentral's name for it is "partial 16S ribosomal RNA". It matches the Rfam family "Bacterial small subunit ribosomal RNA", at positions 28 to 507 of the family's 1533-position model. The record is from RNAcentral.
GACGAACGCUGGCGGCGUGCUUAACACAUGCGAGUCGAACGGAAAGGCCCCCUUGUGGGGUACUCGAGUGGCGAACGGGUGGGUAACACGUGAGUAACCUACCCUUGACUUUGGGAUAACUUCAGGAAACUGGGGCUAAUACCGGAUAGGAGCUCCUGCUGCAUGGUGGGGGUUGGAAAGUUUCGGCGGUUGGGGAUGGACUCGCGGCUUAUCAGCUUGUUGGUGGGGUAGUGGCUCACCAAGGCUUUGACGGGUAGCCGGCCUGAGAGGGUGACCGGCCACAUUGGGACUGAGAUACGGCCCAGACUCCUACGGGAGGCAGCAGUGGGGAAUAUUGCACAAUGGGCGGAAGCCUGAUGCAGCAACGCCGCGUGCGGGAUGACGGCCUUCGGGUUGUAAACCGCUUUCGCCUGUGACGAAGCGUGAGUGACGGUAAUGGGUAAAGAAGCACCGGCUAACUACGUG